This 395-nucleotide ribosomal RNA is filed under the name Umbilicaria dendrophora. Its description in RNAcentral is "mitochondrial SSU rRNA". It matches the Rfam family "Bacterial small subunit ribosomal RNA", at positions 354 to 751 of the family's 1533-position model. Lineage: Eukaryota; Fungi; Ascomycota; Lecanoromycetes; Umbilicariales; Umbilicariaceae. The record is from RNAcentral.
GUGAGGAAUAUUGGUCAAUAGCCUAACGGCUGAACCAGCAACUNGGAGGAAUGUAUAGCGAAAGCUAAUUGUAUUAGCAGGCAAUGGUUAAUAUAAUAUCGACUAUGUCGACUAAAGUUCUAGGUAGAGUAAUGAUAAUGACAUUUUUUACCUAUGUGUCUUGACCAAGUCACGUGCCAGCAGUCGCGGUAAUACGUGGAAGACAAGUGUUAUUCAUCUUUAAUAGGUUUAAAGGGUACCCAGACGGUAUAUUUAGCCCAAAAAAGGUACUAAAUAAACUAGAGUUUAAUGUGAGGGGGUUUAUAGUACUAAUGGUGUAGAGAUGAAAUUCUGUCAUACCAGGAGGUAACUGGCAGCGGCGAAAGCAACCCUUUAUGCAAAAACUGACGUUGAAG